RNAcentral lists this microRNA (23 nucleotides) under Sarcophilus harrisii (Tasmanian devil). Its description in RNAcentral is "Sha-Mir-27-P3_5p* (star (passenger))". RNAcentral also lists the same sequence under 2 other names. The record is from RNAcentral. Lineage: Eukaryota; Metazoa; Chordata; Mammalia; Dasyuromorphia; Dasyuridae.
AGGACUUAGCUGCCUUGUGAACA